GACGAACGCUGGCGGCGUGCCUAAUACAUGCAAGUCGAACGAGAGCGACCGGUGCUUGCACUGGUCAAUCUAGUGGCGAACGGGUGAGUAACACGUGGGUAACCUGCCCAUCAGAGGGGGAUAACAUUCGGAAACGGAUGCUAAAACCGCAUAGGUUCUACAGUCGCAUGACUGAAGAAGGAAAAGAGGCUUCGGCUUCUGCUGAUGGAUGGACCCGCGGUGCAUUAGCUAGUUGGUGAGGUAACGGCUCACCAAGGCCGUGAUGCAUAGCCGACCUGAGAGGGUGAUCGGCCACAUUGGGACUGAGACACGGCCCAAACUCCUACGGGAGGCAGCAGUAGGGAAUCUUCCGCAAUGGACGCAAGUCUGACGGAGCAACGCCGCGUGAGUGAAGAAGGAUUUCGGUUCGUAAAACUCUGUUGUUAGAGAAGAACAGCGCAUAGAGUAACUGUUAUGCGUGUGACGGAUCUACCAGAAGCC
Molecule: ribosomal RNA, 480 nt
Filed under: Granulicatella elegans
Lineage: Bacteria; Bacillati; Bacillota; Bacilli; Lactobacillales; Carnobacteriaceae
Description: bacterial SSU rRNA
Rfam family: Bacterial small subunit ribosomal RNA
Source: RNAcentral